GACGAACGCUGGCGGCGUGCCUAAUACAUGCAAGUCGAGCGAAGUUUUUCUGGUGCUUGCACCGGAAAAACUUAGCGGCGAACGGGUGAGUAACACGUAAAGAACCUGCCUCAUAGACAGGGACAACUAUUGGAAACGAUAGCUAAUACCGGAUAACAGCAUUAACUGCAUGGUUGAUGUUUAAAAGUUGGUUUUGCUAACACUAUGAGAUGGCUUUGCGGUGCAUUAGCUAGUUGGUGGGAUAAAGGCCUACCAAGGCGACGAUGCAUAGCCGACCUGAGAGGGUGAUCGGCCACACUGGGACUGAGACACGGCCCAGACUCCUACGGGAGGCAGCAGUAGGGAAUCUUCCGCAAUGGGCGAAAGCCUGACGGAGCAACGCCGCGUGAGUGAAGAAGGAUUUCGGUUCGUAAAGCUCUGUUGUUAGGGAAGAAUGAUUGUGUAGUAACUAUACACAGUAGGGACGGUACCUAACCAGAAAGCCACGGCUAACUACGUGCCAGCAGCCGCGGUAAUACGUAGGUGGCAAGCGUUGUCCGGAAUUAUUGGGCGUAAAGCGCGCGCAGGUGGUUUAAUAAGUCUGAUGUGAAAGCCCACGGCUCAACCGUGGAGGGUCAUUGGAAACUGUUAAACUUGAGUGCAGGAGAGAAAAGUGGAAUUCCUAGUGUAGCGGUGAAAUGCGUAGAGAUUAGGAGGAACACCAGUGGCGAAGGCGGCUUUUUGGCCUGUAACUGACACUGAGGCGCGAAAGCGUGGGGAGCAAACAGG
RNAcentral lists this ribosomal RNA (768 nucleotides) under uncultured bacterium. Its description in RNAcentral is "bacterial SSU rRNA". It matches the Rfam family "Bacterial small subunit ribosomal RNA", at positions 28 to 776 of the family's 1533-position model. The record is from RNAcentral.